UACGUAGGGUGCAAGCGUUGUCCGGAAUUAUUGGGCGUAAAGAGCUCGUAGGCGGUUUGUCGCGUCUGCUGUGAAAACGCGAGGCUCAACCUCGCGCCUGCAGUGGGUACGGGCAGACUAGAGUGCGGUAGGGGAGAUUGGAAUUCCUGGUGUAGCGGUGGAAUGCGCAGAUAUCAGGAGGAACACCGAUGGCGAAGGCAGAUCUCUGGGCCGUUACUGACGCUGAGGAGCGAAAGCGUGGGGCGCGAAC
Molecule: ribosomal RNA, 250 nt
Filed under: uncultured prokaryote
Description: partial 16S ribosomal RNA
Rfam family: Bacterial small subunit ribosomal RNA
Source: RNAcentral